Molecule: long non-coding RNA, 144 nt
Organism: Sinocyclocheilus rhinocerous
Lineage: Eukaryota; Metazoa; Chordata; Actinopteri; Cypriniformes; Cyprinidae
Exons: 3
Source: RefSeq, a predicted model, not a curated record
CUUCUUCAUCUUGUUGACAGGAUGUUUUGCAGAAAAAAGGGUCCGGGAUGAAAUACUGAAAAUAGUUCUGGGGAAAUCAGCAAAAGAGCAAGGAACAGUAACAUCCACAAAAUAAAUGAUCCAUACAAGUAAAUGCACACAGGG